CCGGACUUAAUUUCUUUUUUUUUGCAAAAAGAGUGUACCGCCCCCGCAAAUUUUUCCUUUUUAUGUCAAUAACGAAAUUCCAAAAUCUUAAACUGAUUGCCCUAGGUUAAGGCGUGGCACAUGCCCUCUAAAGUGGCUAAAACCCGUUUAUAUGGACUUUUCAAGAGACAAGGCACGAAAAUAUAAGUAAAAUGUUUCAUAGAUGUCUUUAGUAUAUUAUUAUAUUGAAAUUAACUUACGUUUAAUGAUUAAUAUUCUUUAUAAUCAUUUAAACUUAAGCGCAAAGGUCUGAUUGAUUAAUGCUACCGUAUUUUUUCCUAUACUCAGUUACUGUUUGCAUAAAAGUUUUAAAACAUAAGCCUUUAAAAAAAUCGCAAAAAGGCAACUCUGUAAACUUAUAUUUAAAUCGUAAAAUAAAAUGUUGGCAACAACGGAGGAAAGUCAACAUCUGGUCAAUACCGUUAGUUUUGAGCCACGUGGCAAUUAAAAGUGUGUAAAAAGUGAAGUGUAUUUAUUUUGAGCUUUGAAUCAGAGAAACAUUAUUGCUUUAAAGAGAAUUGAUAUUGAUUGUAUUUACAAAAUGGACACAAGGGCUAGUGAAAAAAUUUAUUUAUUAGAAUAUGACGAAAGCCAAAUUGUUGGAUCUAAGCUGCCUUCCAAUGGGCAAGUUUUGAAAGUGUUGUUUUAUAACAUGCGUAAAGUGAAAUUGGAUCUUCGUUCAAGUGCGUAUCUGGUUAUCAAAGAGGCCGAAAUUCUUUGGAAUAAAGCCCGUAUUCCAGUGCGCCAAAUUGAUAGAAGUGUUCAAAAAGUUGAAGCUUUAUAUAAAGAAUGGAAAAAUCUGCAAAAAACUUGUAAACGCAGCACACCACUUCAAAAAAUGCGAGAAGAUCAGUUUAUUAAAAAUAUGAAUAACUUAUUUGACAUUGCGCACGGAAAUGCGUUAGAUUUAAUUAAAAUAGAAGAAGAUAAAGAGUUUUUGAAGAAUCAACGUAAAGAAGGCAGACCUGGUGCAAUGGUGGGAUGCGAUCGUUCAUUAUUUGAAAAAGAAAAGCGAAGAAAUACUCGUAUUGAGAAAGAGGUUAUCCGAAAAGGAAAGCAGGAUGAAGAACAAUUCCAAGUAUUCCUAACAGCGAAUGAUUUGAGUGACAAUACUGAAGAACUAAUUGAUGUAUACGAUGACAAUACUGAUGAUAAUACUGAUCAAACUGCUAACUGUAGAUUUCAACAAAAAAACAGAAAACGAGGAAUAAAACAUUUUAUAACUUCAAAGCUUGUUGCGACCUUAGACAAGUGCAAAGUCAGUGAUAGGGACGCAGUACGUAUUCUGAUAGCUGCGGCUGAAGCAUUGGAACAUGAUAUCAGUACAUUGGUAAUCAGCAAGACAUCGAUUCGGCUUUGCCGUAAACAAAUUCGUUCGGAAACUGCUGCAAAACUGAUGACGGAUUUUAAAAACAGCAAUAUAGAUCAAAUUACGGUACAUUGGGAUGGGAAAAUUUUACCGUCAAUCACAGGAAACGCAAAAGUGGACAGAUUACCAGUUGUGAUAACAACAGAUGGCAUUGAACAUCUACUUGGAGUACCUGCCCUGUCAGCUGGUACUGGCAAAGAACAGACUUACGCCAUACUCGAACUAUUAAAGGAAUGGAAUCUAACAGAAAAGGUAGAAGCUUUAUGUUUUGAUACUACCGCGACAAAUACAGGUAGAUUACAAGGUACUUGCAUUUUAUUAGAACAACACCUCAAUAGAGAAUUGUUAUAUCUCCCUUGCCGUCAUCACAUAUAUGAGCUCUUGCUGAAAAGUGCUUUCGCGAAAUAUGAUUUAAAAUUAAGUGGUCCAUCAUUAGAUAUUUUCCAGCGUUUUAAAAAAAAUUGGCCCAAAAUCAAUCAGCAAAAAUUUGCAAGUGGAAUGGUGGAUAAAAAAAUAAAUCUUGCGCUAAACAAAGCUGAACAAGACCAAUUAGCUCAAUUUGCUCAUAACUAUAUCACUAAACAACAUCCCAGGGCAGACUACAAGGAGUUAUUGGAAUUGAGCCUUAUAUUUCUUGGUCGAAACACAGAGCCUGUAAGGUUUAAAUCACCUGGAGCGAUUCAUCAUGCCCGAUGGAUGGCUAAAGCGAUAUAUACAAUAAAGAUUUUUCUUUUCCGCCACCAAUUCUUAAUGUCGUCAGAUGAGGCAAACGCUAUACAAGAUAUUAGUGUGUUCAUUUUGAAAAUUUAUUUGAGACCGUGGAUUGAAGCGUCAAUUGCCGCGAAAGCACCUUUAAAUGAUUUAAAUUUUAUUAAAAAUAUUAUUAAAUUCAAUGAAUUGAAUGAAAUAAUAAGCAAUGAAGUAACGCUCAAGUUUUCGAAUCACUUGUUGUACCUGACACCAGAAGCAGCAGGUCUUUCAUUUUUUGAUAAUGCUGUAGACCUUGGAGAAAAGAGAAAAAUGGUUGAAAAUCUCAAAAAAGAACAAACUAAUGAGAAUAAAAGAAUAGUAACAAACAUGAAUGAAUUAAACCAAAACAAUAUUUCAGAUUUUGUUAACAAAAAAACAGUGAGCUUUUUCGAAAGAUUUAAUAUUCAAACUAACUUUCUAAAACUUGACCCAUCCAAGUGGCACAAUGACUCCGAAUUUCAAAAAGGAAUGAAUAUUGUGAAAAACUUACAUGUUGUUAAUGAUACCGCAGAGCGUUUUGUAAAACUAAUGGAAGAAUAUAAUGCAGCUCUAACAAAAAACGAAGAAGAGAAACAAUACAUCUUGCAAACAGUAACUGAAUAUAGGAAAAAAUACGCUAGCAUUAAUAAAUCAGACCUUUACGCUUAAGUUUAAAUGAUUAUAAAGAAUAUUAAUCAAUAAAAGUAAGUUAAUUUCAAUAUAAUAAUAUACUAAAGACAUCUAUGAAACAUUUUACUUAUAUUUUCGUGCCUUGUCUCUUGAAAAGUCCAUAUAAACCGGUUUUAGCCACUUUAGUGGGCAUGUGCCACGCCUUAACCUAGGGCAAUCAGUUUAAGAUUUUGGAAUUUCGUUAUUGGCAUAAAAAGGAAAAAUUUGCGGGGGCGGUACACUCUUUUUGCAAAAAAAAAAUUUUCCCAUACAAAAAAAGACCAGUCUAAUGUACAUAUAAUUUUUAGAUAGUUUCACAUGCAUUACAAAUAUUAUGUUUUAAUUUUCCUUUUCGGCAAAGGGUGUGUCCUUAUGAGUCAUGUCGAAUUGGAAUUUUUUUAGGUAAUACUCAGAAAUAAGGUUGGAUUUUUAUUUUAUAAUCAUUUGUCUGUGUAUUGCUGAUCGUGGUUAUAUAAAUGCGGGGUUUCUCUUUAUAAUAUAAAUAUCGCCUUUCAUACACCAUAUAAAAACAUAAAUAUAUUAUUAAAUAGAAAGUCGAUGUAUUGGCGCAUAUGAUUGAACAUUUGUAUGUAUGAUUAUUGUAUUUCUACUGGAAAAAACCCAACACAAUACAGAAGCGAUAAUGUCAACGAAAAGUUUCUAUGAAAUCUUAAAGUCCACACCAACGGCGAGCUUCGAAGAGUUGCGCCGUAAUUAUAAACAAUUGAUUCUACAAUGUCAUCCCGAUAAAUUACAACAUUUAGAUAACACAAAUACCACAACAACAAAAGCAUCAAGUACUAAUGGUGAUAAUGCCACAAUAAUAACUAAUAAUGCGGCGACCAUUACGCCUGCUACUGUUGACCUAAAUGCCGAAA
This is an RNA transcript of Zeugodacus cucurbitae (melon fly), 3684 nucleotides long. RefSeq lists it as uncharacterized. The record is from RefSeq and is a predicted model, not a curated record. The transcript has 3 exons. Lineage: Eukaryota; Metazoa; Arthropoda; Insecta; Diptera; Tephritidae.